Long non-coding RNA from Mus musculus (house mouse), 616 nucleotides. RefSeq annotates it as predicted gene, 36194. The transcript has 3 exons. The record is from RefSeq and is a predicted model, not a curated record. Lineage: Eukaryota; Metazoa; Chordata; Mammalia; Rodentia; Muridae.
UGUAGCACAGCUUCCUGCUCCUGUGAUAGAUGAGGCAAAGCACCUGCGCCUCGCUGAACAUGUGAAAACCACACACAAAGACUCAAGAGCAUGUGCGACCCAGCUGUAGUAAGUGCCAGGCCAGAAGUUGAAUUACCCCUGAAUUUGGAUGGUGUAACAGGGGAAUAUCACUUGUGAAUAAGGAGCCUGGCCAUCCUCAGUCUCCAGUCGUGCACGCUGUCUUCUGACCACGCUGACUUUGGAAGCUGUCACACUCUUCUUCUUCAGGGAGCUCUGAGCAGAACAGAGAUGAGUCCCAAAUGCUACCUGAGGACUCUGCGGCAAAGACUGCGUGUGGAGCACAAACUCAAGCAAAUCCCUGCCCUCCCUUGGAUGAUGUCAGAGCAGGGGUGACGAGGCAUCGGAAGGAAGGCAGUGUCCUCCCGUCCUGUCAGAGUCCUAGUGAAAGGUGAUCAGCUGAAGAUGCAGCCAAGAGAAGGGAUUGAAUGGGCACCUGGGAGAGAUAAGGAACAUGUUCUGGCAUCUGAAGUUUCUUGAAGGAAUUCAUGGAUAAGAAAAGAAGUCUGGGACCACUCUGAUCCAAAACUUCUUUCAUGCCCUUCAUUGUGUCUUUGUU